UACAGAGGGUGCGAGCGUUAAUCGGAAUUACUGGGCGUAAAGCGUGCGUAGACGGUAGCGUAAGUCAGAUGUGAAAGCCCCGGGCUCAACCUGGGAAUUGCAUUUGAGACUGUUCUGCUCGGGUGCGGAAGAGGGAAGCGGAAUUUCCGGUGUAGCGGUGAAAUGCGUAGAUAUCGGAAGGAACACCAGUGGCGAAAGCGGCUUCCUGGUCCGACACCGACGUUCAGGCACGAAAGCGUGGGGAGCGAACAGG
RNAcentral lists this ribosomal RNA (253 nucleotides) under uncultured bacterium. Its description in RNAcentral is "partial 16S ribosomal RNA". It matches the Rfam family "Bacterial small subunit ribosomal RNA", at positions 524 to 776 of the family's 1533-position model. The record is from RNAcentral.